Molecule: long non-coding RNA, 2489 nt
Organism: Meriones unguiculatus (Mongolian gerbil)
Lineage: Eukaryota; Metazoa; Chordata; Mammalia; Rodentia; Muridae
Exons: 4
Source: RefSeq, a predicted model, not a curated record
CCCACAGCUCGGGCGGUUUGGGAGGUUUUCUCACACCCUGCCACCCCAAACCCCUCACGACCGAGGCCCCUCCCUAUCCGAACUGAAUUCCUACACUGAGAUUUCAGGUGUGCCCGGCCUCAUCGAGUUCUGAGACAGAUUUUAAGGCUCUUUUAUCCUGGACUCCGAGGCUGACUCAAUUUCCAGAAAAUGAACGGUGUGAUCUGGUUGGUCUCAACCUUCUGGGCGCAAGCCAUCCUUUUGGAGUAGCUGGGACUGCAGAGGACCGUCACUACAGAGACUAUCAGCGUGGCUUGUGGCCUUUAGGUGUGUUUCUGUGACUGAUGCGGCUGAAGCUUCCUGGCUGGGGACUGUGAUGGGGACACAGAGAACUAUGGGAGACGGCCCACUGAAGACAGUUGGAGAAGUCAAAGGUCUUCCUGUCAGAGGAGGCUACUGUCUCCCUGAGGCAGAUGUCUCUAGCUCUAACAUCUGCCGACCUGAAAUGCCUGCAGGAGACCAUGGUCACAUCACAAAGCCCUUUCAAGUCAGGAAUUUGUCCUAAGGAAGCCCGCAAACGUGGGAAAUAUGUAUGUUUGAGAAGGCAGCCAACUGGAAAAAGCCACACAGCCCUCAGCAGUGCAGGUCCCGAAUCACGCGUGGUGUUGCAGUCACUGAGAGAAUGAGGAACAGUGAGCAUGGAAUGUGGGCCUGUAAUUCCAGCCCGUGGGAGGCGGAAAGCAAGAAGAUGGAAAAUUGGGCUUACCUAUGCGAUACCUCGUGUUCCAGGCCCUGGCAGAGCUGUACAGCCGCCAUGACAGCCAGUUCUGGAGCAUUCCCACGGCUUCAGAGAAGCCAUUAGUAAUGGCUUGCCAUGGGACCCACCCCAGGGCCUAUCAUUGAUUUUCUGUCUUUGCUCAUCUGACUGUUCUGAGUACUUGAUGUACGUGGACUUGUUCAGUAUGGAUCCUUAGUGACCUCUGCUUUUUUUUUUUUUUUUAAAUCUAUGUACGUAUCUAUGUAAUCUAUCUAUCUAUGUUUUGAGACAGGGUCUUUUUACAUGACUCUGGCUGUCCUAGAGCUCACUAUGUAGACCAGGUUGGCUUCUAACUCAUAGAGAUCCACCUGCCCCUCCUUCUCAAAUGCUAGGAUUAAAGGUGUGCCCCACCAUGCUCGGCUUGCACGGGCAUGCAAUUUUCUUUUAUAGCAAUAGGGUUUUCAAGGUGCUCCCCUCUCUUUCCCCCCCUUCUCUCCCUUUUCUCAGCCCACCUUUCUCUAAUUAAGCAAGACUAAAACAGCUACCCCAGGACCUUUCCUGUAAGGGCUUCAUCACUGAACUGCAAGCUGCACAUCCAACCAAAACUAAUUUUCUUUCUUAUUUAUAUUUAGACUUUUAAAAAAUGUGUGUGUGUGAGUGUAUGUAUUCUAUGAAUGUUAGUGGCCACGGAAGCCAGAGAUGCCAACCUCCUGGAGCUGGGGUGGCAGGCUGUUGUGAGCCACCGUUGUGGGUGUGGGGUCACUGAAUCAUCUCUCCAGGGCACCCCCCAUUCCAUUUUUUUUCUUCGACAAGGUCUUACGAAGCUCCAGCUGGCCUUGAAUUUGCUGUGUGACAGGUGGCCUCUCCUGUCUUUUUGUGUCCUUAGGUAACAGGUGUGUGUCACCAUGCCUGGUUAAUGUAGUGCUGGGGACUGAACCUAGGGCUUUGUUUGAGCUUGGCAAGCACUUUGCCAAGUGAGCUACACUUCCAGUCAUAGAACAUGGUUUUGAUUGUAUGUUUUUGCUUCUGAGUCAGUGUCUCACUCUGCAUGCAUAUGGUAUGCAGGCCAGGGUAGCCUUAAACUCAGAGACCGGCCUGCCUCUGCCUCUGGAGUGCUGGUCCUGGAGGUGUAGGCCGCCACUAUCCUCUAAGGGCACACGGGGCAUGGUGGCAUACACUUGUAAUCCCAGCACCUGAGAAGCAGGAGCAGCUGAAUCAGGGUUUUGAAGCCUUCUUCUCCUGUAGCAGGUGUCCAGUCUAAGACCCGCUUCUCAAAAACAGCAAAACCACGAAGACAGUGGCAAGCUGUUUGUUUAUUUAUCUUUUCAAGACAGAGUUUCUCUGCCCUGAUUGUCCUGAAACUCGCUCUGUAGACAAGGCUGGUCUCAAACUCAGAGACCCACCUGUCUCUGCCAACCAAGGAUGGGGUAAUGUGUGGAGCCAUGGAAUGGCCGUUUGACUCCUGCCUGCUUGGAAUCUAUGAUGCACAUUGUGCCUUGCAUGGUACAGUGAGUUUCCAUCCCUGGACCGCAGCUGCUGCUUUGAGCUUUGUAGAGGUUUGUCCAACCGUUUAGAUUUGGCAAGGUAUGCAUAUGAGCACUUGCCUCCCGCUUACCUGAGAACUGCCCUCCUCCUGCUUUUUGGAAUUUCCUUGAGAAUAUCCUGCUUUGUGGUUUUCACUGAAACUAGUUCCUCCCCCGGAGUUGCCCAUUCUUACUCUUUAUAAGCUGUAACCUAACAUACAAUAAACCGA